RNA transcript from Anopheles gambiae (African malaria mosquito), 1213 nucleotides. RefSeq lists it as uncharacterized. The record is from RefSeq and is a predicted model, not a curated record. NCBI's taxonomy places the organism in Eukaryota, Metazoa, Arthropoda, Insecta, Diptera, Culicidae. The transcript has 2 exons.
GGCAGCACGGUCAAUUGGCAUCAGUUGGACAUUUUGCACAUUUGCUAUACGCAAUUUGUAAUUUGUUUGAAACUUUAAGUUGCAUUUAACGAAACGAAUGAACAGGGUACCGAAGUAUAGCAAAGGCAUUUUUACUGGCAAAAGUAUCCCUUUGUGUGGAUUGAGAAAAAUACAUAAGCAGUUUUUAAAAUAGUUGCCGUAUUCCAAAUCGUGGUGCAUUUUUGUGUGUGAUGGAUAAAGAGACGCAGUUUUCGUGAAGUUGUAUGCAUUAAGCAAUCAUAACAGCAUAUUACACUAAAUCCGAGAUAUGCGGUUGAUGAAAUUCGGCAGUGCUUUAAACACAAUUUCGAAUGGAAAUUAACACGUUCAGCCCGGCGCUGAUUUUCAUCAACUUUCCGUUCCGCCGGAAUCUAGAACGCUAGCAGUUGACUGUAAACCGAAUGUGCAAAAUUGAGUUUUUUUUUAGCUAAACUUAAAACUGUGCUCUGUUCACCAAUACUGUUAUGUGUGGGAUGAUGUUUUUAUCAACCAAAAUUAUUCUCACAACAUUAUUUUAUUUGCCCACUGCUGCUGUUCAAGCGAGUAGAAUACAGUUGUUUUCAACGUACAGUCAGUCCAAAAAGUAUUCGUCUAGCUAAAUAUUUUGCAGGAAAAGGCGAAUUUUGGCCGCUGUUUUCAUCAACCAAAAUUAUUCUCACAACAUUAUUUUAUUUGCCCACUGCUGCUGUUCAAGCGAGUAGAGUACAGUUUUCAAUGUAUGUUGUUUCCAUAGCAUAAUACGAUUGGCAAGUCCCAGGGAAUCAGCUUCGGAAUCGAUUACGUCAGCGGUCGGCAAACUUUUGAGGCAAAGGGCCAACUUCAGUAAAUGAUCGAGUGCCGCGGGCCAGGUGAAUGCGGUAUUUUUAUUAUUGCGCUUAAAUGAUUACAUUUUAAUCUUUGACAAACAGUUCAGGUGUUAUUGUUGUUUUUCUGUAAUUAAAUCAUCAAAAUACGGUUCAAAAUUAAUGAUACCGACUUUAAAAACGAAUUGUAAUAUUAGUCAUUUGAGAAUCAGCAAAACAUGACUAAACAUUUGAUCAGUAAAAAAAUAACAAAAAGGGAUUAAUGUCGCUUCUUAAAGACCCCUCCUCCCACGCCGCAAAAAAAUAUUGAAUAUAUUCCGGGUAUGAUACAAAAGUCUGAACGGCUGAAAAAUUAUCGAAGCAAACAUAGA